Molecule: long non-coding RNA, 2400 nt
Organism: Equus caballus (horse)
Lineage: Eukaryota; Metazoa; Chordata; Mammalia; Perissodactyla; Equidae
Source: Ensembl
GUCAGUGCAGCUCAGAAACGAGAUUCCAAAGGAAGGGGUCUGGGUCUGGGGGUUGGGGGUGGAGCCGAAAGAUGGAGACCACGGCCUUACUCCCUCCGCCAAUGGGACUUGUCAGGGACGUCCGCCACCUGAGGCCGGCCAAGCGGGUGGCGCUGAUCCAGCCAGCCCAGAUUUGUUGAGCACCAACUAUGUGUCUUCAGGCCCAGUGCUGGGUGCCAGGUGACAGAGGGGACCCUCCGGACGCCAUUUCCACAUCCUGGAGCCUCCGUUCUGGAGGGGUGUGUGUGUCCUAUGGUGUGGUGACUGAUGACCAGAGACCGAGCGGCUUAAACCAACAGACACUCCUUCUCCUCCAGCUCUGGAGGCUGGAAUGUGAAAUCGGCGUGUGGGCAGGCCCAGCCCCCCGGAAGCUCCAGGCACAGCUCUAGGCCCUGAGAUGAGACACAAAGACGAACAACGCCAACGCGGCCCCUGACCCCAUAAGAUCACAUCUUGGCAGGGAGGGUCAGACGGUGAAGAAACGAGUAACUCCUGGUGCCAAGGUAGCGGCCGAGACGGUGUGUCUGGAAGCUCCGGCUUCCGAGCCUGUGUUUCUGCUCCAGACCCCGUGUCCUGGCGCCAGCCCAAGGAGGCCGUGAGCCCCUGCUGUUUCCCGCCUGGCCGAGCGCCCGCUCCUCCGGGAUCCCUCCCGCCCCUCCACACCUGGCGCUUCGGCCUCCUUCUCCGCCUGCCCUGAUGGUCGGCCGGCAAAGGCACUUCAUAGUUUUCUGGAUGCCUCCUAAUUUCAACUUCCAUCCACUGCCUGCUGGGGGGUCUUGGCUUCAGGGCAAGAACUGGGCAGGUGGCAACCUCAGCAGAGGCUCCGGAAGCUUCUGCAAGAGCACCGGGCUUGUCUUUACGAGGGACAAGCAGGCCCUGGCCCUCCCUCAUGUUGGAGCACAGAUGUGGUGGGAGAGAGAGCGAGGCUGCAGCUCAGACCCCGGAGUUGCCUGCAGACAGUGUGGUGGCCGGCCGCUCCUGCCCUCUGCCAUGCCCCCAGCGCCCGCGACAGUGCCUGGCUGUGCCCAGGAACCUUAAGGGAGGCGCUCCUGCUGGUGGCGGGCUGGGCGUGCUCUUCCUUCUCCGAGGGCCGCUUUCUGCAAGGGUCUGUGCAGCCGCUCGUCACCCUGAUGCAGCUGCCACAGGAGACCCUCCUCCCUCCACUGACGUCCCGGGCUUGGGGUGCUGGCUCAGCCCACGACAGUGCAGGGUCGCCCCAUCCUGAUCCCCCGCUGGGCUGAAGCCUCUGUGUCCUCCUCCUGCCUCCUCCUGCUGCUGGAGUGCGUUCUGGCCCAUCCCUGCCACCCAGGCCCGAGGCCGUCCACAUCCUCCUCAACCCGUCCGGUGUGUGGGUCUGUGUUUCCUCUCUCUGGUCAGUCUCGCAGCCUCUGCUGCUGCCCUGCUCAGGUCCCAGGGAGGCCGGAGCCAGCUGGGCUGUGGUGGGAAGCGCCCCGGUCCCCCAACUGGCCCCUCUGUGCGACCCACGGCUCUGACUGUGGCUUUGGCGUCUACAGAACCCGUGUUGCAAGCACCUGUGAGUGAUUGGCCCACAGCCCGCUCGUCCUCACUCCUGCCUUUCCUCUCUCCGCCUUUUCUUGCUCCUAUACCUUCGCUGGCUCCCCACUGCCCUCAGAAUUCAGUCUGGCUCCCUGGCCUGGCGUUUAAUGCCUUGAAGGCUGCAGGCCCCUCCUGCUGGUACCCCUGCGUGCAGUGCCCCCAACACAGCAUCAUCCCUCCAUUGGGUCAGCGUCCCCAGUCUGUUGGCCACCCCCGUCCAGAUCACAUGGCCCUUCUGCUUUGCAGCACCGGCCCUUCCCCGAGAGGAGAUUGGUCCCCACAGGCUGUGCACUGCCCCUGUCCAGCCUGCUGGGGGGCUGGGAGCAUGCACAGGUGGGCAGGGCGCCUGGCUGGUCCUGCCAGCCCAGCUCCUUGCCCAACCAGGUACUGGUGGCAAUGACCAAGUUCCAGAGGGCAGUGAACAUGCCUGUGGGUCUCUGCACUGCCCGGAGAGGGUCCCUUGUGUCCUUUGACCUUGGGACCACUUUCCUGGUGGGUUGUCUUCCUGCUGCCUGAGCCCUCAGCUCCCUCUGCCCGGAAUCCCCCCAGCUGGCCAGAGCCCCCCGUGCCUGGAGCUCCCUCCCCCCGCUUGCUUCCUGCCAGCAGCCUUCCUGCCUCCCAGACCCUCUGCCCUGCCCCCUAGUUAUGGUACUUCCAGAUGUGGGCCUCCAAUGAUCGGUCUCUGAGACCCCAUGCAGGAUCUCCCCACCUGCCGACCUGCCCCCCUAACCUGACCCCAUCCCUGUGGUUUGGGGCGUCUGCUCCCUAACUCCACACUGGGCACCAGAAGAGAGGAAGAGAGGG